Molecule: long non-coding RNA, 1348 nt
Organism: Poeciliopsis prolifica (blackstripe livebearer)
Lineage: Eukaryota; Metazoa; Chordata; Actinopteri; Cyprinodontiformes; Poeciliidae
Exons: 3
Source: RefSeq, a predicted model, not a curated record
CGCACACACACUUUUCAGGAGAGAAAGACGUGUGCAGAGAGACAGGAGUCCGACGGAGAGAGAGAGAGAGAGCGAGAGAGAGAAAGGAGAUCCCAGUGGAGCAGAUGUCAAAGAAGGAUCCCAGUAUCACAUAUCGGUUAGAUGACCAAGGCAGAGCCCACAUGACAUGACAGCUAAAGCUCGGAUCGCGAGGAUAUUGCAGGGGGAUUCAGUGGACCACACCUGUGCACUGAUUUUCUUUACCAUCUGCAACUUGACCACCCAGUCCACAUUCAUGCAAAUUGAGCAAGGGGCAAAGAAGCAGCUGUGAAGAGCCUGGAAGGUCCCCCCUUCACUUCGCCUCUUACCUGUGUCACCGCUGCCCGGCGGCACCAUCAAAGGUGCAUCAGACGUCUACUUUGGCACCUUCUUACCUGUGGCGUAGUUCUACUUCUUGCCGGCUAACGCACCUCCACCAUCACCCUCCCCUCAUCCCUCCAGCUCCUCAAGGCAUCUGUCACUCACUUGUCAUUUUUUUCAUCAGCUCCUGCUUUCCCCUUUGAUUUCUCAGCGAAGGUGGGAAAGGAACCAUCCGAGCGAAAAUGGAACCUUCUUCCAGGUUUGGCAGCUGCAACAGAUGACACAUCAGAGCCAUCUUGUACUAAAACAGAUUAUUCAAAACGUUAGGAAAAAAUUUUAGUUUUCACCUUUAACCAAAGUUUUGUAUGUAUUGUCAAUAUGGCAUGCCACAAUGCUAAAGGUAAAAGUUGAUUGCAUUUAUAUUCUGUAGAUAUCUUGUCAGACUUCUAAUGUUUUAGCCCAUUUUAGUCCAACACUGAGUCCAACAAUCUGAGAGUUGCUCUACCAAAUGUAGAGUGCAUACUGUUUCACAACAUUUAUUUAACCUGAAAUGUGAUCUGUAACCAAAUACUAACCAAAUGUUGACACCCAGAGGCUUUCUGUCAGGGACCAUCAAAUGAAGAGGUUACCUUGGUGUGAAUACUUUUAGAAUAAUAACUGUAUCACUUUGCUAUUUAUUUACAUAAAGGGCUCAUUUAGAAUGGUCUUUGUUACACUAGUCAGUUAAGUCAUUUUAUAACAUGAAUAUGUACAAUAAUAAAUGUCUUGAUCAAAUCUUGCAGUGAAAUUUUACUGAAGUUACACAAAAUGCUGAAACCUAAACAAAAGAGGAAGUCAAGUUUGAUCUCAAGUACAAGAAUAUCAAACUGGAGUAUUGACUUUUCUACUUUUCUGCUUUGUAUUGUUUGAUGAUCUAAAAAACAAAGAUCAUCACCUGGACAUUUUAUAUUUAUAGAGAUUUUGAGUAUGUUGUUCAUUCACUUUUAGGAGGUUUUUAUUUAAUUUGCAA